AAAAAAUAUCUAUCCUUACAAAAAGAAAUCUAUAUUCGCUGAACAACUUACAAUUUCUAUUUUAUUUUAGAUCGCGCUGGUAAUUGCAUGAAUAAAUCGAGAGACAUAAUGAAUAAAUCGGAUACAACGGCGUCUCUCGCUUGAGAGACACCGUCGUGCAAGGGUUUAUUGCGCUACGCGCAAUUGUAUUUACACAUAAAAUGUAAUAUACGAUCCUGCGAGCCUCUAAUUUUGAAAGAAAUAUCAGAUUGUCACAAAAAAUUUGGCAAAAUCUUUGUAAAAAUUCGCCAAUGCGUAUAUGGAAAGGACAUCCUCGAGCUAUGUAGGAAACGCUCAAAUAUUGAACGCUGAAAAUUCUUUGGAAAGGAAGACAGAAACUUCCUUGGAAAGGAAGAGUGGUAUCCGAUGCGUUUGUGUUUUCGUAGCGCUGGGCGCGCUCGACUCUUCGAAUACUUCUGAAAUGUCUCAAAGGACCGUAAAGAAAACUUGUAUGUAUUGCCACUUUAUAAGAGACGUAUUUAUUUUAUCUCCGGCGUCUGAUUUAUGAAGACGAUGACAUUAUGCCAUUACAAACUCCCCCAAAAUAUUUAUAACAUUACAUUUCCUUUAGACGUUCUGUGUUGCGUCCUUGUUCAGCAAUAUUGUAUAUACAUACAUAUAUAUAUAUAUAUAUAUAUAUAUACACACACAAUAGUUGUAAAUCAAGUAUAUGUACAUAGGAUAUGUGGCAAAGGCAAACUGAUACUGACAGCAUGAUUAUCCCUAGGAUUACUAAAGUCAAUAAUAUAUCCUAAUUGAUAGACACAUAAGAUUAAUAAAUUAUUAAUGGCAGAAUAAUUAAAAAAAUGGUAGAUUUUCAAACAAAACUCAAUUUAAGUAUUCAAAUUAUAUGAAAAAACAUUAGAUAGGCCAAAAAUAGUAUCCAAGCAAUCAUUUCGAAUAAAUUUUUGAUUAUUUUGGUGAAUUUUUGUAUUGUUUUUUUUUUACUAUUAUAUGUUCAAUAAAAUAAUUAAAAUAAUUAAGCUAUCGGCCCGUUUUAAAAUCAAUCAUAUUAAAAAACUCUGCCACAUAAUUUUAUAUGUUCUACGUGAACGAGAAACGCGAUAAGGAAAAUCUUCCACUUUUCCCAUUCCAGCUAUACGGCUGGAUAAAAUACAAAGUUUAAAGAUAACUGUUCCACUUCGCUCAGGGAUAAGCCGGAGAGCGAAAGCAGUCGCGAAUGUGUCUAAUGUACGAAUAUCCGUAAGUGGAGCGUAACUCAAAGGGAUGAAUUAAGUUUUAUACGCACUCGAGUGGUUACGAAAUAAAAAUAUACAUUUGCAUUUCGUGGAAACGCCCCGACACAAAGAUAUGUUUAAAGAGUGAGUGAUCCAAUUCGCGGCAAGCCAUCCGUUUUAUCCUCUUAGGAUACCCAUUCCUGUCCACUCAGAUCUAGCCGCCCAUUUCUGAUGUCAAAGACUGAGCACUGGAAAAACAGGCGCGAUCCUCUGAAAGUUAAAGAGUGCAGCGGUUCGUGGGAAAAAGCGGCUGAGUGUCCCUUCAUAAGACCUACGGCUGGAAGGACUGAGCGCGGUAUUAGCCGCGAUGGUUUAUGGACAUUCAUAACGAUGUACGUGGCAAUCGUGCGUUAAUUGUGGUUUUAUUGGAGAAUUUACCUGCUCGCGCAUAUCCCAACAUGCGCCAAUCAAAGUGACAUGAUCUCUCCAAUUGAUAUGCUAUCGUAUUACAUACAACACGCAAAUUAUUGUUACACCGUGAUCGCGCCAUGUAUGUCCCAGAGGUAACGACGAUCUGAGAACUAAUGGACUUUCCGGAGCGGGAUAAGCCACCGAGAGGUGAAGCGCCGCGCGAGAGGAGCGGAGGGGAAAAAAAGGGACUGGCAAGCACGGAGGCGCGAAAUGUUAUCGGGCAUCAACGAGCGUUCGAUCGAUUCGUCGUCUCGCGGCGUUGGUUCCCUUCAGCGUCGUCGAACUUCCGUUCCUCCCCGCUGCCGCGGAGUGCGAGGGCGAAAAUUGAGUUACGAUGUCACCGCUACCCUCCCGAAAGUCGCUCGAUAUGGAAACGAGGCGAGAGGCGGAAGAAGAGCGGUGUAAAAAAAGAAGAGCUGACGGAAAGCGGAGGAAAAUCGAAGGGACUUUCUCUUGUUUCUUCAGGCCAAGGCUGCUUCCGUUUCAACCCUCUCAAUUAAUUCGGAUCUUAGUUGGUGAGCGACGUGAAGGAUAGUGGUCGUUGGAAAAUGAGGAACUCAAUUAUUUCGCCGGGGGUUUGCAUUGUAUCCGGUACACGACGCGACCCCCGCCGUCGACUUUUCGAUCUCAUCGUCGAGCCAGCGCAGUAGACGCCCUUCGUUAGUUCAACGUUAAUAGCAUUGUGCAAAAACCAUUACCGCGUAGUUUCGCGGCCGAUUCUAAGCGAAAGCAUUGAAUGAAAGCAUAAUGCACGGUGCUGUAUCCAGCGGUGAUUGAAUGAACGACAAAGGCAGGCCAAGGGUGUAGGUAUAUAGCGACGGAGACGGAGGGGAAAUAGUGGACGCGGUCGUAUGGCAUCGCGCAGUUUUCCCGCACCAUUGCCUCUGAUUUGACAAUUUUGAUCCUACGUCGUUUAAGCGGACAAAUAUAUCCACGAAAAUUGAAAAUCCUGGAAGCUUGGAGAAGGCCGCCGGCUGCAUGCGGAGAGAGAGAGAGAGAGAGAGAGAGAGAGAGAGAGAGAGAGAAGAAGAGAGGUGGAUCUACAGCAAGAUUCUGAGAGAGCGCGAGAAGGAGACACGCGUUGACGGACGCAAAAAAGAAGAGGAAAAACGCGGGACGAACUGAAGGAGGAUAUUACAAACUCAAGAAGCGAACCGGCAGUAUAUAUGUACGUACCAGCACGACCUCACGUAGCCCGGCAAUCGUUGUAGCGUGCUGAAUCAGCUAUUUCUACGUGGACACGCCUGAUUGGAUGCGGUAAAAUGACAUCGAAACGCUUGAACGCCAUCCACUUGACAAUAAUCAAGAACUAUAAUAAUCUUAACUCUCGAUUAAAAGCUUUUGUCUCUCCUUUUCGUUUCAUCUUGGCGAUAAUGCACGUUUGUGAUAACGUUCGCUGUUUUUACGACGAAAAAAUAGAAUCGGGUUAAAACUGAGUUAUUCAAAUGUAAGUACGAAAAAAGCUUGUUCUUUAAUAUUUAAAGAAUUUUAAUAUUCAGUAAAUAUGUAACCAAAAGUAACUGCGUGACUUUAGGUAUAUAAUUCAUGGACAACAUUUAUAAAAAAAAAAUUUACACUUUGAUGGAAAAUGCAGAAGUUAGUAGAGAAAAUUUGCAUUGCAGAUAUUAAUUUCAUGUCCAAUUUAGAUGUUUAAAUUAGCUAUAAUAUGUUUAGCAAAAAUCGGAUAGUACGAUUAAAAUGUUUUUGUGUAAUUGAUGAUAUACCGAUUAGGUUCACUAAUUAAGCCGUCUCUGGUAAAUUGAUUUACGAAUGUUAUUUGCUGCUUAAUUAAUCGCUUGGACGGCUAUAAUACCUCGAAUAUGAGAUUAAUAUCUGAAUGCAUGAUUACAUUGAUAUUGUGAUUAUACGAGCACGAUCAAUGAGAAGCACACAAUACGUUCGAGAACUAUGAGGGAGGGGCGAAACAGGGAAAGAAAAUGUUAAGCCAACAUACCCAAAUAAAUACGCAUAGUUUUCAUGUAAAACUCAUUAAUAAUACGUCAGAUAAAUGAUAACUUUUUAUCCCUGUUGAUUUGCAAUACAUAGACAACAUUGAAUGGAAGAUGUUAUCGAUAAAGUAAAUUAACCAGGAUAUAUAGAACAGUUACGUCGUUCAAUAUGAUUUACAUAGAAUAAUUUUCCAUACUGUCGAGCGUGACGGUGUCACUGAUCAGUUAUUAAUUAUGCACAGUUAUGUAAAAAAAAUAUAAUGCUGAUUUGUUAAUAAAAUUCGAUUAAUGACCAACAAAAUUAGCAGAGCAUUAGUCAAAAUCUUGUCAAAUUAGUAGUUAUUACAUUGAAAUAAUUAUGUGUCAAACAUGAUUUCCUGUAUUUAGUAUUUGAAUAAUAUAAUGCCACAUCA
Linepithema humile (Argentine ant) is the source of this 4050-nucleotide non-coding RNA. Lineage: Eukaryota; Metazoa; Arthropoda; Insecta; Hymenoptera; Formicidae. The record is from RefSeq and is a predicted model, not a curated record.